Molecule: ribosomal RNA, 349 nt
Filed under: uncultured bacterium
Lineage: Bacteria
Description: partial 16S ribosomal RNA
Rfam family: Bacterial small subunit ribosomal RNA
Source: RNAcentral
CCUACGGGUGGCAGCAGUGAGGAAUAUUGGUCAAUGGCCGCAGGGCUGAACCAGCCAAGUCGCGUGAGGGAUGACGGUCCUAUGGAUUGUAAACCUCUUUUGUCAGGGAGCAAAGGGCGCCACGUGUGGCGUUUUGCGAGUACCUGAAGAAAAAGCAUCGGCUAACUCCGUGCCAGCAGCCGCGGUAAGACGGAGGAUGCGAGCGUUAUCCGGAUUUAUUGGGUUUAAAGGGUGCGCAGGCGGAAUGUAAAGUCAGCGGUAAAAUUUCGGGGCUCAACCCCGUCGUGCCGUUGAAACUGGCAUUCUAGAGUGGGAGAGAAGUAGGCGGAAUGCGUGGGGUAGCGGGAAA